Molecule: long non-coding RNA, 1000 nt
Filed under: Elaeis guineensis (African oil palm)
Lineage: Eukaryota; Viridiplantae; Streptophyta; Magnoliopsida; Arecales; Arecaceae
Description: long non-coding RNA (EGUI_LNC068097)
Source: RNAcentral
AAACUCUAGAUCUGGUUUCUUCAAUUAGUAUCAGAGCCUAAGGUUGUUUAUUACAUGAUUAUUUAUACAUUGUUGGGUGUAAAAUAACCCCAGUCGAAGUUUGUAAAUGGCCGUCCCUUCCAGGGCUUUUCCAGCUUCCGACCUUAUGUGGCAUCUUUCUGAACUCCCUCGACCAUUCGAGCUUCCAUAAUGCCAUCCGGGCUUCUCCAUUCAUCUACCGGAUUUCUCCAAACACCCUCUGAACUCCGCUAUCAGUCAAUUUUCUACAGUGAUCGACUAUUCUCCAAAUUCCUUCCAGACUUCUUCCAGCCACGGAUGACUCUACUCCAAACUUCUUCCGAACUUCAUCAGUGUCCGACCUUCUCCGAUAAUGGGAUUUCUACAGUAACCAGACUCCAUCCAAGUUUCUACGAUGGUCGACCACCUUCCGAAUUCCAUCCGAGCUCCUACGAGAAUUGGAUUUUAGCCGAACUCCUACAGUGGAUGGAUCCCAGAUGAAUUUUGACAACGAAAGGGCUCCACCAGUCGGAUCUCAGAUCCAAACUUCUACUGCAAGCAGUCUACUCCGAACUUCUACUACGAGCAGUCUACUCUGGAUCUCUAAUGUAAGCAAAUUCCAUCCAAGCUUCUACUGCAACCUAAUUCCUUUCGAACUUCUAUUACAGGCGGACUUCAGCCGAGCUUCUUCAAUAAGCGGUCCCCAUCCAGACUUCUACAAGAACCGAACUCUGCCUAAACUUCCAUAGCGGAUGAAUUCUGGACGAACUUCUACAACAAAUGUGCUCCGACAGCUGGAUUCCUACAACGGCCGACUGCCUCUGAUGUCUGCUGUACCUCCCCAGCCAUCAACCUUCAAUAGUGUCAGUCAGAUUUCAAUAACGCCAAUCGGACUUCCACAAGAUCCUCCAAAUUCCUCCAGCGGACGAACCUCCCCAACGUCAUCCGAAGUCCACUAUCGGUCGACGCUCUGUCGGAUUACUCAUGAAAUCAGACUUCUCCA